CAGUCGCCGCGGUAAUACGUAGGUGGCAAGCGUUGUCCGGAAUUAUUGGGCGUAAAGGGCUCGCAGGCGGUUUCUUAAGUCUGAUGUGAAAGCCCCCGGCUCAACCGGGGAGGGUCAUUGGAAACUGGGAAACUUGGGUGCAGAAGAGGAGAGUGGAAUUCCACGUGUAGCGGUGAAAUGCGUAGAGAUGUGGAGGAACACCAGUGGCGAAGGCGACUCUCUGGUCUGUAACUGACGCUGAGGAGCGAAAGCGUGGGGAGCGAACAGGAUUAGAUACCCCUGUAGUCCCUGUCUCUUAUAC
Molecule: ribosomal RNA, 301 nt
Filed under: uncultured bacterium
Lineage: Bacteria
Description: partial 16S ribosomal RNA
Rfam family: Bacterial small subunit ribosomal RNA
Source: RNAcentral